AUACGUAGGGGGCGAGCGUUGUCCGGAAUGAUUGGGCGUAAAGGGCGCGUAGGCGGCCUGUUAAGUCUGGAGUGAAAGUCCUGUUUUCAAGAUGGGAAUUGCUUUGGAUACUGAUGGGCUUGAGUGCAGGAGAGGUUAUCGGAAUUCCCGGUGUAGCGGUGAAAUGCGUAGAGAUCGGGAGGAACACCAGUGGCGAAGGCGGGUAACUGGACUGCAACUGACGCUGAGGCGCGAAAGUGUGGGGAGCAAACAGGAUUAGAUACCCUGGUAGUCCACACUGUAAACGAUGAAUGCUAGGUGUAAGAGGUAUCGACCCCUUUUGUGCCGGAGUUAACACAAUAAGCAUUCCGCCUGGGGAGUACGGCCGCAAGGUUGAAACUCAAAGGAAUGGACGGGG
This 397-nucleotide ribosomal RNA is filed under the name uncultured bacterium. RNAcentral describes it as "partial 16S ribosomal RNA". It matches the Rfam family "Bacterial small subunit ribosomal RNA", at positions 523 to 918 of the family's 1533-position model. The record is from RNAcentral.